RNAcentral lists this ribosomal RNA (300 nucleotides) under uncultured bacterium. Its description in RNAcentral is "bacterial SSU rRNA". It matches the Rfam family "Bacterial small subunit ribosomal RNA", at positions 496 to 795 of the family's 1533-position model. The record is from RNAcentral.
GCUAACACCGGGACAGCGGGAGCGGUAGUACGGAGGGUGCAAGCGGUAGUCGGAAGUACUGGGCGUAAAGGGUGCGUAGGUGGGGAUGUAAGUCAGAUGUGAAAUACCGUGGCUCAACAACGGCCGUGCAUCUGAAACUGCGUUUCUAGAGGGAUAGCGGAGAAAACGGAAUUCCACGUGUAGCGGUGAAAUGCGUAGAUAUGUGGAAGAACACCUGUGGCGAAAGCGGUUUUCUAGCUUAAACCUGACACUGAGGCACGAAAGCAAGGGGAGCAAACAGGAUUAGAUACCCGGGUAGUC